This is a long non-coding RNA of Mizuhopecten yessoensis (Yesso scallop), 1596 nucleotides long. RefSeq lists it as uncharacterized. The transcript is spliced from 4 exons. Lineage: Eukaryota; Metazoa; Mollusca; Bivalvia; Pectinida; Pectinidae. The record is from RefSeq and is a predicted model, not a curated record.
CAGUGAAUUUUUAGUUACAUUCAUUUUACCACCACGGAUCAACAUAUGAAAUGGAUAAAAAACCGGAGAUCAGCAAAGAGGCAGCUGACGCCUUUAUUGCCUGUGGAAAGACUGGAAAUAUCAACACCAUGGUAUUGUUUGCUGCAACAUUUGGUGUUGCAUAUCUAGCACAAGGGGCAUAUAUGUACAAAACCAAGAAAUUCCUCAAGAGCAAGAACCGAGCACUUCUGCCACUGGGAGCAGCUUUCCUCCCUUCCUAUUUCUACUACUGGAGUGUCUUAUAUAAUUGUAGAAAAGAAAUGGGGAAGAAUUAUCCACAAUGCUUUGAGACUAAAGGUCCAAGAUAAACGGAAUUCAAUGAUGAUGAUUAAGACUACCAGCACAUAGGAAGACUGAGAACGAACUCUUAGUUAACUCAUUCAACCUAAAGUCACAUUUGAACCCACCAAAUCAAUGACUGUGCAAAUCCAGUUUAGAAGUGUAGGGGUGAAUGAGUUUAUAACAUUGGAAACAAAGAAGAUCAAAAUUAGUGGUCUGUGUACAUGUAUUACUGAGGUAUGUCAUAAGUGUCUAAAUUGUCUGAUGGUCACUCUGCCAUUGUCAAGCCUAGAUCACUAGACAUGUGUACUGAGCAGCGCUGGACACAGCCGGUCGCCUGGUCGCCAAAGGCGGCCAAAACCUUGAUUGGGCGACUAGAAAUUGUCAAAAGAUGGAUGUUACUGGCCCAAAAAUAAAUCUUUGGGCGAGUACAUUGGUUUGUUUACAAAAUGCUUGGUAAUAAUUGAAUUGAAUGACAGCUACUCAGUUAGUUGGGGAUGUCAUUAAAAACAUCUAUUUAUAUUGUUUUAUUGGCAUUUUUUAUUGCUCAAUACUGAAAAUAAUCUUAGUGAAAUAUUUUGGCUACCAAUAUUCAUUUUGGGCCUGUGGAAUAAUUUGUGUACUCGCCCAAAAAACAUUUUCUAAUCCCUGUAGCCAUUGACUUCCAUUUUGUCUACCUCGCACUCUAGAAAACUUGGAUUGGUUCAAUGACACUGCCAGACUACCCAAUAUAAGAGGAUUUCAUUGAUACACUUGUGAUCAGUAGAUGAAUAUUCUGUUGCAUCUUUUUAUCUAUAUUUUAUACUGUAUUUGAUGCAGUAUGGAAUUUGUGUACAAAAAUAUUGAAAUAUUUUCAGGGGUUUGUUUUCUAGUUACCGUACUGUUAAGCAUUUUUUGGAAAAGUUUUAACCGAUUCUAGUUUGGAAUAUUUAAAAUAUUUGAUUUAUUGUAUUUUUAUCAAUUCUGAAAUAAAAAGUGCUAAAACUGACCAUAGGCUAUGCCCUCUUUACAACUAAUUAGUUUGGUAUGCUUAAAGGUAGGUGACUGUUAUAACGAAAAUGGGACUGAUACAGAUGUGUUCACCAUAAUGCAGAAGACAUGAACAAAUGAUAAAAAUAAUGAUUUUUUUCCUGUAACGAAAAUUGAUAGACUGGGGAAUGGAGUAAGGGUGUUCUAGAAGCUGCUGUCUGCGCACCAUCUACUCUUUGUACAAAAGCGAUCAUGCUAACUUCAGACAAAUCAAACUCCACAUAUUGUCACCAUAUGUUUUUAGUUUUU